This 72-nucleotide transfer RNA is filed under the name bacterium. RNAcentral's name for it is "tRNA-Lys". It matches the Rfam family "tRNA". Rfam says of the family: Transfer RNA (tRNA) molecules are approximately 80 nucleotides in length. Their secondary structure includes four short double-helical elements and three loops (D, anti-codon, and T loops). The record is from RNAcentral. RNAcentral also lists the same sequence under 4 other names.
GGGCGUGUAGCUCAAUGGUAGAGCAGUGGCCUUUUAAGCCAUUGGUUGGGAGUUCGAGCCUCCCCACGCUCA